Molecule: long non-coding RNA, 327 nt
Filed under: Phoenix dactylifera (date palm)
Lineage: Eukaryota; Viridiplantae; Streptophyta; Magnoliopsida; Arecales; Arecaceae
Description: long non-coding RNA (PDAC_LNC005862)
Source: RNAcentral
UUAUGUAAAGUCAUCAAAUACAUAUAGUUAUUUACCUGAGGAGGGAGAAAUCGCUGUAACAUAGAUGAAAUAUGCUCAAGCUGAGACUGCAAAGUUUGUUGGUUCUGUUUCAACUCCGCCAACUCUGCCUGAUGGCGAUCCUUCAUAUCUUCGAUUGUUGCCCGAAGUCUACUAACUUCUGCAUUGCUACUGCCUUCUCCAGCAUUUCUUGUAUACAUGCCCACUGCAGACAACUGAGUGGGGGUAACUCCAACGCCAUAACCCCUCACUCUACCAUAACGCUCUGGGCCCAAUAAUUCAGCGAGCACCUGAGCUUCGACAUGACUG